UGCGUAGGCGGACUAAUAAGUCAGUGGUGAAAUCUUUCGGCCCAACCGGGAAACUGCCAUUGAUACUGUUAGUCUUGAGUUCGGUUGAAGUAGGCGGAAUGUGUAAUGUAGCGGUGAAAUGCUUAGAUAUUACACAGAACACCAAUUGCGUAGGCAGCUUACUAGACCGACACUGACGCUGAGGCACGAAAGCGUGGGGAGCGAACAGGAUUAGAUACCCUGGUAGUCC
RNAcentral lists this ribosomal RNA (229 nucleotides) under uncultured bacterium. RNAcentral's name for it is "partial 16S ribosomal RNA". It matches the Rfam family "Bacterial small subunit ribosomal RNA", at positions 568 to 796 of the family's 1533-position model. The record is from RNAcentral.